Molecule: long non-coding RNA, 470 nt
Filed under: Equus asinus (donkey)
Lineage: Eukaryota; Metazoa; Chordata; Mammalia; Perissodactyla; Equidae
Description: lncRNA (ENSEASG00005025118.1)
Source: RNAcentral
GGGGCGCGGCGGAGUCGGGUUUCAGCGCGGCUGAGUCAGGGCGCGGGCCGAGCCUCCCGCGGGCCGCCGCCGCCCGGCUCCGCCUUUGUUCCUGCAGCCCCGCGAGCGGCCACCAGCGCCACUCCGCCUCCGCGCGCCCGGCGCCCCGGCAGACCCGCGGGAUGGCGCCCAGGAGGAACGGGCCGUGCUGGCGCCCGCUGCUGCUGCUCGCGGUCUCCGCGCUCCUCCCCGCUGUCACCCGGACCCGCUCCGCGACAGAAUUUUUCUGGGACUGAGAAUUCCCAAGAUUGCCACAUGGAAGCCCGGGCUGUGCCAACCUUGGCAGUGCAGAGCUGGUUUACGCAGGCUUCGGGGGCAAGCUCUCAGCCCCUCCCUGGAACCCCCUGGACACCACUUGCAAACCAGCCACCAGAUGGGGCUCUGGCCCAUUUGCCCCCCGUGGAACCACACCCCCAAACCUGGAGCGUCCC